Small nucleolar RNA from Ursus americanus (American black bear), 95 nucleotides. Lineage: Eukaryota; Metazoa; Chordata; Mammalia; Carnivora; Ursidae. The record is from Ensembl.
AUAGCAGUGUGCUACAUGAGAGGCAAGGCUUUUGCUACCAACACAAGGGUCUCUAGUCCAAUGAGUGAAGUUUGAUAGUAAUUCUUGCUAUGAGU